GGAAUCGAUAACCGCUGAAAGCAUCUAAGCGGGAAGCGAGCCCUGAGAUGAGUCUUCCCUGACAGUUUAACUGUCCUAAAGGGUUGUUCGAGACUAGAACGUUGAUAGGCAGGGUGUGUAAGCGUUGUGAGGCGUUGAGCUAACCUGUACUAAUUGCCCGUGAGGCUUAACCAUACAACACCCAAGGGGUUUUGUA
RNAcentral lists this ribosomal RNA (196 nucleotides) under Vibrio fluvialis. RNAcentral describes it as "partial 23S ribosomal RNA". The stretch from base 1 to 174 matches the Rfam family "Bacterial large subunit ribosomal RNA", at positions 2757 to 2925 of the family's 2925-position model. Lineage: Bacteria; Pseudomonadati; Pseudomonadota; Gammaproteobacteria; Vibrionales; Vibrionaceae. The record is from RNAcentral.